GUUGGUGUAGCUCAGCUGGUUAGAGUACCUGCUUGACAUGCAGGGGGUCGGUGGUUCGAGUCCACUCAUCAACACCA
RNAcentral lists this transfer RNA (77 nucleotides) under Clostridia bacterium. Its description in RNAcentral is "tRNA-Val(gac)". It matches the Rfam family "tRNA". From Rfam's summary of the family: Transfer RNA (tRNA) molecules are approximately 80 nucleotides in length. The record is from RNAcentral. Lineage: Bacteria; Bacillati; Bacillota; Clostridia. RNAcentral also lists the same sequence under 1 other name.